This is a long non-coding RNA of Fukomys damarensis (Damara mole-rat), 638 nucleotides long. RefSeq lists it as uncharacterized. The record is from RefSeq and is a predicted model, not a curated record. NCBI's taxonomy places the organism in Eukaryota, Metazoa, Chordata, Mammalia, Rodentia, Bathyergidae. The transcript is spliced from 4 exons.
CCCUGUGAUGCUGGAGUUGAAAGGAAGAACUCGAAGGCGCAGGUGGUUGCGAUCAUGGCCUUCAGGGAGAUAUGAUUAUUUUACACGGCUGAUUGCUACCUGAAGGAAGUCAGACUACAAUUAAGACUGUCAGUAAAAUCAAGAGGGACACUUUUUAAAUUGUCUUUGCGAUAUGAACACUUCAUCCAGUCUCUUCUGAGGUACUCUGAAAUUGCUCCUGUCCUUUUCAACCAAGACAUCCCGGACUUCUAGACUUCCAUUACCUCAUAAGGAAGCUUGGUUCUGGAAACACAGCAAACUUUCCUUACCUAUUGGUAAGGCAGCAGUGAAGGCAUGGGGAAACAUUCAGAAAUGGAGAGCCUGUAUCCCCUACCAAGCCCUGGGAAAUCAACAGAAACGGCUGAUCUGAACCUGGAGCUCGGGUCUGGAAAGGGUCCAUACUGCUCAGCUUGAAACCUCGGUACCAAGAAAUAGCUCUGUGCUCUGAGGAGCCUAAUCUUGCCAUGAUGGUCGGUUCACUGUGCUGCCAACAACUAGGCCAAGAACGGCCUUUGGCUCUCGGCCGAAAAUCAGCCUGCCCACCAGAGGGAACUCUACAGAACACUGCAAUCAAUUCCACCCAAAUGCUGGUCUGCACU